This 253-nucleotide ribosomal RNA is filed under the name uncultured bacterium. Its description in RNAcentral is "partial 16S ribosomal RNA". It matches the Rfam family "Bacterial small subunit ribosomal RNA", at positions 524 to 776 of the family's 1533-position model. The record is from RNAcentral.
UACGUAGGGUGCAAGCGUUAUCCGGAAUUAUUGGGCGUAGAGAGCUCGUAGGCGGUUUGUCGCGUCUGCUGUGAAAACUGGGGGCUCAACCCCCAGCCUGCAGUGGGUACGGGCAGACUAGAGUGCGGUAGGGGAGAUUGGAAUUCCUGGUGUAGCGGUGGAAUGCGCAGAUAUCAGGAGGGACACCGAUGGCGAAGGCAGAUCUCUGGGCCGUAACUGACGCUGAGGAGCGAAAGCGUGGGGAGCGAACAGG